RNAcentral lists this ribosomal RNA (253 nucleotides) under uncultured bacterium. RNAcentral's name for it is "partial 16S ribosomal RNA". It matches the Rfam family "Bacterial small subunit ribosomal RNA", at positions 524 to 776 of the family's 1533-position model. The record is from RNAcentral.
GACGGAGGAUGCAAGCGUUAUCCGGAAUUAUUGGGCGUAAAGCGUCCGCAGGUGGCAGUUCAAGUCUGCUGUCAAAGACCGGGGCUUAACUUCGGAAAGGCAGUGGAAACUGAACAGCUAGAGUAUGGUAGGGGCAGAGGGAAUUCCUGGUGUAGCGGUGAAAUGCGUAGAGAUCAGGAGGAACACCGAUGGCGAAGGCAGCUCGCUGGGACGGUACUGACGCUGAGGCGCGAAAGCGUGGGGAGCAAACAGG